Molecule: long non-coding RNA, 656 nt
Filed under: Populus trichocarpa (black cottonwood)
Lineage: Eukaryota; Viridiplantae; Streptophyta; Magnoliopsida; Malpighiales; Salicaceae
Description: long non-coding RNA (PTRI_LNC001861)
Source: RNAcentral
GUAGGUAUAUAGUAUAUUUUCGUGAAUCUGACAAAGAAGGUUCCCCUAAAAAUUAAAGAUUUAAAACCAAAUUAAGGGGUGAUGCCAAAUUUGUCACCACUCCACGAGACAGCCUGCAAGGGGGCGGUGUCACCACCCAUGACAUCGAUAAAUCUUCAACCACCUGACAGCCUGAUAUUACUCGCCAUCGAUCCUGCUCUUUCCACACGCCCAUCCUCGCCCCCAUCACACACACGGAUGCACAAGAUUCUUAGCAUUAAUCUUCCCACUUGGAAGCUUAAUUAACUAAUAUAUGUGCAGGUGUACUUGUGAGAAAUCAAUUGCUAACAUCACUCAUCUUGGCCCAUGAUCACCAUGGCCAUCAUGCGUCUAGCACCUUGUAAAGAUCCUCCCGAAUCCAUGUGCUUGCCCUUGAUCGUAUCUAUAAUUAAACAAGAUGGGCUAUAAAAACGUUCUUGUUGCUAAAAGAUUUCAUUUUUCUUAGUGUUCGAGCUGAGAGACCAUAAUUUACCCAUGUUAACUACUUGAGAAAGAUAACUACUGGCAAAGACAGGGAAAUUAAUGAAAGGCAACCCUAGAGAUAUCUUCCCUCACCUUACUUGAAGAGACUGUGCCCUUCACUUAGCUAGGCUGAUUAUAAAUUUGUUGGCCAAUUC